This 464-nucleotide ribosomal RNA is filed under the name uncultured bacterium. RNAcentral's name for it is "partial 16S ribosomal RNA". It matches the Rfam family "Bacterial small subunit ribosomal RNA", at positions 339 to 795 of the family's 1533-position model. The record is from RNAcentral.
CUACGGGCCGCAGCAGUGGGGAAUAUUGGACAAUGGGGGAAACCCUGAUCCAGCAAUGCCGCGUGUGUGAAGAAGGCCUGCGGGUUGUAAAGCACUUUCGGUUGGGAGGACUGCUUCUAGCACUAAUAUUGUUGGAAGUUGACGUUACCUUCAGAAGAAGCACCGGCUAACUCCGUGCCAGCAGCCGCGGUAAUACGGAGGGUGCAAGCGUUAAUCGGAAUUACUGGGCGUAAAGCGCGCGUAGGCGGCUAGAUCAGUCGGGUGUGAAAGCCCCGGGCUUAACCUGGGAACUGCAUCCGAUACUGUCUAGCUUGAGUACAGGAGAGGAGAGUGGAAUUCCACAUGUAGCGGUGAAAUGCGUAGAUAUGUGGAGGAACACCAAUGGCGAAGGCAGCUCUCUGGCCUAAUACUGACGCUGAGGUGCGAAGCGUGGGGAGCAAACAGGAUUAGAUACCCGGGUAGUC